This 21-nucleotide microRNA is filed under the name Branchiostoma belcheri (Belcher's lancelet). RNAcentral's name for it is "bbe-miR-210-3p". Its record names the gene bbe-miR-210-3p. Lineage: Eukaryota; Metazoa; Chordata; Leptocardii; Amphioxiformes; Branchiostomatidae. The record is from miRBase by way of RNAcentral.
CGCCUCUGUUUCGCGCGCAAG